Molecule: ribosomal RNA, 380 nt
Filed under: uncultured eukaryote
Lineage: Eukaryota
Description: SSU rRNA
Rfam family: Eukaryotic small subunit ribosomal RNA
Source: RNAcentral
AGCUCCAAUAGCGUAUAUUAAAGUUGUUGCAGUUAAAAAGCUCGUAGUUGAAUUUUGGGUCUGAUUGUUGGGUCUUGUCGCAAGAUAGGUACUCAACGGUUGGGCCUUUCCUUCUGGCGAACUAUUGUGCUAUUCAGUUAGUGUGAUAGGGAUCCAGGACUUUUACUUUGAAAAAAUUAGAGUGUUUAAAGCAGGCUUACGCUUGAAUACAUUAGCAUGGAAUAAUAGAAUAGGACUUUGGUUCUAUUUUGUUGGUUUCUAGGACCGAAGUAAUGAUUAAUAGGGAUAGUUGGGGGCAUUAGUAUUUAAUUGUCAGAGGUGAAAUUCUUGGAUUUAUGAAAGACUAACUUCUGCGAAAGCAUUUGCCAAGGAUGUUUUCA